GUCUGCUUGGUAGGCCCUAAAACCACUAAAUCCUGUCUUGAUCUAGGAAGCUAAGCAUGUUUGCCCCUGGCUAGUACUUGGAUGGGAGACCAUCAAGAAAUACCAGGCAUUGCAGGCU
This 118-nucleotide ribosomal RNA is filed under the name Anolis carolinensis (green anole). Lineage: Eukaryota; Metazoa; Chordata; Lepidosauria; Squamata; Anolidae. The record is from RNAcentral.